RNAcentral lists this ribosomal RNA (645 nucleotides) under Rhodobacteraceae bacterium MOLA 349. RNAcentral describes it as "bacterial SSU rRNA". It matches the Rfam family "Bacterial small subunit ribosomal RNA", at positions 202 to 867 of the family's 1533-position model. Lineage: Bacteria; Pseudomonadati; Pseudomonadota; Alphaproteobacteria; Rhodobacterales; Paracoccaceae. The record is from RNAcentral.
GAAAGAUUUAUCGGAUUUGGAUCGGCCCGCGUUAGAUUAGAUAGUUGGUGGGGUAAUGGCCUACCAAGUCUACGAUCUAUAGCUGGUUUUAGAGGAUGAUCAGCAACACUGGGACUGAGACACGGCCCAGACUCCUACGGGAGGCAGCAGUGGGGAAUCUUGGACAAUGGGCGCAAGCCUGAUCCAGCCAUGCCGCGUGAGUGAUGAAGGCCUUAGGGUCGUAAAGCUCUUUCGCCAGAGAUGAUAAUGACAGUAUCUGGUAAAGAAACCCCGGCUAACUCCGUGCCAGCAGCCGCGGUAAUACGGAGGGGGUUAGCGUUGUUCGGAAUUACUGGGCGUAAAGCGUACGUAGGCGGAUUAGUCAGUCAGAGGUGAAAUCCCAGGGCUCAACCCUGGAACUGCCUUUGAUACUGCUAGUCUUGAGUUCGAGAGAGGUGAGUGGAAUUCCAAGUGUAGAGGUGAAAUUCGUAGAUAUUUGGAGGAACACCAGUGGCGAAGGCGGCUCACUGGCUCGAUACUGACGCUGAGGUACGAAAGUGUGGGGAGCAAACAGGAUUAGAUACCCUGGUAGUCCACACCGUAAACGAUGAAUGCCAGUCGUCGGGCAGUAUACUGUUCGGUGACACACCUAACCGGAUUAAGCAU